UACGAAGGGAGCUAGCGUUGUUCGGAAUUACUGGGCGUAAAGGGCGCGUAGGCGGUCCGGCAAGUCAGAUGUGAAAGCCCUGGGCUCAACCCGGGAAUUGCGUUUGAUACUGCCGGUCUUGAAUUCGGUAGAGGUUGGUAGAAUUCCCAGUGUAGAGGUGAAAUUCGUAGAGAUUGGGAAGAAUACCCGUGGCGAAGGCGGCCAACUGGACCGACAUUGACGCUGAGGCGCGAAAGCGUGGGGAGCAAAC
Molecule: ribosomal RNA, 250 nt
Filed under: uncultured bacterium
Lineage: Bacteria
Description: partial 16S ribosomal RNA
Rfam family: Bacterial small subunit ribosomal RNA
Source: RNAcentral